AUUGAACGCUGGCGGCAGGCCUAACACAUGCAAGUCGAGCGGUAACAGAAAGUAGCUUGCUACUUUGCUGACGAGCGGCGGACGGGUGAGUAAUGCUUGGGAAUAUGCCUUAUGGUGGGGGACAACAGUUGGAAACGACUGCUAAUACCGCAUAACAUCUCCGGAUCAAAGUGGGGGACCUUCGGGCCUCACGCCAUAAGAGUAGCCCAAGUGGGAUUAGCUUGUUGGUAAGGUAAUGGCUUACCAAGGCGACGAUCCCUAGUUGGUCUUAGAGGAUGACCAGCCACACUGGAACUGAGACACGGUCCAGACUCCUACGGGAGGCUG
This 327-nucleotide ribosomal RNA is filed under the name uncultured Pseudomonadota bacterium. RNAcentral describes it as "bacterial SSU rRNA". It matches the Rfam family "Bacterial small subunit ribosomal RNA", at positions 30 to 351 of the family's 1533-position model. Lineage: Bacteria; Pseudomonadati; Pseudomonadota. The record is from RNAcentral.